RNAcentral lists this ribosomal RNA (240 nucleotides) under uncultured bacterium. Its description in RNAcentral is "partial 16S ribosomal RNA". It matches the Rfam family "Bacterial small subunit ribosomal RNA", at positions 94 to 334 of the family's 1533-position model. The record is from RNAcentral.
AGCGGCGGACGGGUGAGUAACGCGUGGGUGACCUGCCCCAUACCGGGGGAUAACAGCUGGAAACGGCUGCUAAUACCGCAUAAGCGCACAGAGCCGCAUGGCUCGGUGUGAAAAACUCCGGUGGUAUGGGAUGGGCCCGCGUCUGAUUAGGCAGUUAGCGGGGUAACGGCCCACCAAACCGACGAUCAGUAGCCGGCCUGAGAGGGCGACCGGCCACAUUGGGACUGAGACACGGCCCAA